ACGAAAGAACAUGGUGAAAUAGCUUUUUCCAAUGAAAGUUUAUGCUAUAUUGUGAUGAUUAUUCUAAACUUUGUUUUUCUUUCCCUUCGUAUCGCAGUGAGGUUUGGAGCGCACAUUUUAAGAAGAAGCGACAUUUUCAGUUCAAAAAACAACGAAAUCAACGGUCGGCAAUACAACGAUUAGUACGAGAACCUGUAUUCUGGCAUGGCGUUGAAAUUUAAUUACAUAAUGGAAAGUGAGGAGCAACGUUAACGAAAUCAUUCGUGCGGUGGUGCAGAAAAUGUACUGAAUACACAAUGUUCUAGAAUAUUCAUAUUGUUUGGCGGCAGAACAAAAGAUGAAUACAUAAUUUAAUGGAGAAAUGCCAAAAGAUUGAUGUGAAGAUUUUAGGGGACAAGUAAUAAUUCGCACGGAAUAGCUUUGGUGUUCCGUAGGCGCGAUAAAAUUCUUACCGUAUUAUUCUGUGUAUAACGACCCGCUUUUAGUUCACAAAUUAUCAAAGUCCGAUUAAGUGGGUCGUUAUACACAGGUAGUAACUUUUCCAUUCGAUUCUAGAGUGGAGGUUAAAACACGUACCACAUUGUUACAACUGAUGAAAUGUAGAAAACAAAUUUUUUCAAUUUUUUUCAUAAACAUAAAAAAAUGGUUUUUGGGGGUCGUUAUACACUGAAAAAUACGGUACUUUGCUAUAUUGACAAUGAAGGAAAAAUUGUAAACAGCGGUUGGCUGGUAUGUUGCAAUGUUUCGUUUUGUUAGAAAUAUGUGCAAUGUCCGCGUGUGGGGGUCCGCGACAGCCGAGCGGUAGCGCUGGUUAGAAAUUCGGCCCAUGAGCGCCGGGGCUAACCACCUCGACGGCGUGGGUUCGAAUCCCAACCGAGACCGGACCCUCCCCUGUACGAGAGGACUGACUAUCCACGUACAACAGGGAAACAAGUCUCGUAAGCCCUUAACGGGGGCAGGCAUGACCAAGAGUUCGUUACGCCAAGAAGAAGAAGAAGAAGAUGUGCAAUGUGAUGUUCAUAAUUUGAUUUGAAUUUUCAAUGACGGCAAAUUUCCUUCCAAAUAAUGUGUUUAACCGAAUAUUAUGGCGUACUAUUGGUACUUAUCAAAUGCUGCAUUAUAACUAGGCAUCGUGAUGAGGUUGGGUUUGUGAUGUGACGUGUUGUUGAUGUUGGAUAGUGAAUGUGUACUAACGGCAAGGGAUAAUUGCUACGGUAUGUGCAACGGUAAGAACAUCACUACUGCAGUCCAAGUUUCCACGUUCGAGCCCACGAUGUGCACUGGCGUGUUCUUUUUAAAAAGUUUGAUAAAAAGAUCUAAGGAUAUUUUAUUCACUGCAUAACAUAUACAGUGGACAAUUAAGGACGAUGUGGAUGACGUAAUUUGUAUACAGACGAAGAACAAUGAUGUGGAUGACGUAAUUUGCAAAUAGACGAAGAGCAACCUUUCGUUGCGCAGUGCCUUUGUCUCAAACAUUGGAAAUCGGAUACACUGGAAUGACAACUGACACCCUGGAGCUUCAUUCCUGAUGCACUGCUGCAGCAGGUCUCAGGCGGCAAUAACGCGAGUGCAGGCGGUGAACAUGUGUUCCAGGGUGUCACACUUAAUACAGAACAUGCAGGAAGCCGAUGGCGUGCGUCCCAUACGCAAUAGCAAAUCUCCGUCCGGGAUCUUGCCAUUCACAACAAGGUAUAGUACGGACCGCUGCUCCGAUGAAAGUUUUGUGUAGUGGAUGUGCUUCCACGCCCUGUUUCAGUUCAGGUUCGGUAAUUGUUCCUGUAUAUUCACGGUGGGUAACCGUUCCUUUAGCGUCUUGCGGAACGCCUUGGUGAACGAGUGUUGCUCGAGCGUGGCGGGAACGUAGGCGAGUUGCUGAAAAGCGCUCCGAAGGCACGUAUACGCCGUUUGGAUCGCCGUGAUGUCAGGCGAGUUAUCGGUAUAUGAUGAGCACCAAACGGCAUGCACUCCUGCUCUACUACGUACCGGUUGGUCAUCAAGGCUAUAGCUGCUA
This is a long non-coding RNA of Anopheles coustani, 2011 nucleotides long. RefSeq lists it as uncharacterized. The record is from RefSeq and is a predicted model, not a curated record. The transcript has 6 exons. Lineage: Eukaryota; Metazoa; Arthropoda; Insecta; Diptera; Culicidae.